GAUGAAGAACGUAGCGAAAUGCGAUAAGUAAUGUGAAUUGCAGAAUUCAGUGAAUCAUCGAAUCUUUGAACGCACAUUGCGCCCGCUGGUAUUCCGGCGGGCAUGCCUGUUCGAGCGUCAUUUCAACCCUCAAGCUCUCCGGAGUUUGGUGUUGGGGCGCCUGGGGCUUUUCGACCUCAGGGCCCUCAAGUCCAUCGGCGGGACCGCCAGGACACUGAGCGCAGUAGUAUUAUUUCGCUCGGUAGGAUCUUCCAUGGCGGGUCGAUCUGGCCGCUAAACCCCCCAAUUCUCACCAAAGGUUGACCUCGGAUCAGGUAGGAAUACCCGCUGAACUUAAGCAUAUCAAUAGCGGAGGA
This 356-nucleotide unclassified non-coding RNA is filed under the name soil metagenome. RNAcentral's name for it is "partial contains 5.8S ribosomal RNA, internal transcribed spacer 2, and large subunit ribosomal RNA". The stretch from base 1 to 120 matches the Rfam family "5.8S ribosomal RNA", at positions 35 to 154 of the family's 154-position model. The record is from RNAcentral.